UACGGGGGGGGCAAGCGUUGUUCGGAAUUACUGGGCGUAAAGGGCUCGUAGGUGGCCAACUAAGUCAGACGUGAAAUCCCUCAGCUUAACUGGGGAACUGCGUCUGAUACUGGAUGGCUUGAGUUUGGGAGAGGGAUGCGGAAUUCCAGGUGUAGCGGUGAAAUGCGUAGAUAUCAGGAGGAACACCGGUGGCGAAGGCGGGACUCUGGGCCGAUACUGACGCUGAGGAGCGAAAGCGUGGGGAGCAAACAGG
Molecule: ribosomal RNA, 253 nt
Filed under: uncultured bacterium
Lineage: Bacteria
Description: partial 16S ribosomal RNA
Rfam family: Bacterial small subunit ribosomal RNA
Source: RNAcentral